AAAAAAUUUAAAUUAAAGCAUUAGAAAUCAAUGAUUUCAUCAACAUAAGAACCAUUGAAAAAAUCAUUGAUAACAAAGAGGAACUUUGUCCAGUUUUAUUAACAGAUUUAAUCUCACAAUAUGUGAGUAGGAACAAAUGAAUCUAAACUGAGAAAAUAUAGAAUCGAAAGGAAGAGGCCAUUGACAAGCUUGAUAUUUAUUGCUGAAGGACAAAGGGUACACUUGUGUACGUAAUUUUAUGAAUGCCACAACACAUGAUAUAAGAAUGAAAAUGGCAUUAUAUUUCUGGGAUCAGACUGACGUGCAAAAUAGACUUUCAGCACAUCUGAUGCCUCAGGUGAUUUGUUUGAAUUUUCUCAUCAUCUCCCAAAAAAUAUAAAAGAGAAUCCAGCCAUCUCAUAGCCAAUUGAUGGAGACUAAAAAGGUCACGAAAAGAAUAAAAACCAAAGAAGGUAAAAGCUUCAAAACCAAAACCUUAGUUAAAUAUACAAUUACCAAAAAAGAAGCCUAAUCCAGUGAAUUUCUGAAAUCAGAUGGAGGUGCAAAUAAAUACACAGCAUAGCUGGUGCCUUUGGAAAUCUGAUUGUGCCUUGGACAUCAUUACCUAGGCCCCAAAAUUUAAACAAAAAUUGAAUAGAAUAAAAUAAAUUUAUAAAAAAUUUGGGUCACAAUAACAAAAAGAACUGAUGAGUUCCAGUGUUGCAACAUAUGGCUCAAAGGAGAGGGGGGAAAAAACUUGGCACAUAAAUAACAAAUAUGCAGUAGAGCUGGAGCCUUGAUAAUCUGCAUAACAUCAUAUCCAAACUCAAUAAACGACAAAUGAAGUCCCCCCACUGCAGAUAUCGGAGACUAAUAAUACUAAGUAAGAUCAUAAAACAAAAUUAAAAUCAUAAUCAGAAAGAAUUGGGAUCAGACUGACGUG
Molecule: unclassified non-coding RNA, 922 nt
Filed under: Hevea brasiliensis (rubber tree)
Lineage: Eukaryota; Viridiplantae; Streptophyta; Magnoliopsida; Malpighiales; Euphorbiaceae
Source: RNAcentral